RNAcentral lists this non-coding RNA (30 nucleotides) under Cricetulus griseus (Chinese hamster). The record is from RNAcentral. Lineage: Eukaryota; Metazoa; Chordata; Mammalia; Rodentia; Cricetidae.
AGCAAAAACGAAGAUCUGAACGCGGAGGAU